GAUGAAGAGCGUAGCGAAAUGCGAUAAGUAAUGUGAAUUGCAGAAUUCAGUGAAUCAUCGAAUCUUUGAACGCACAUUGCGCCCGCCAGCAUUCUGGCGGGCAUGCCUGUUCGAGCGUCAUUUCAACCCUCGAGCCCCCCCGGGGGCCUCGGUGUUGGGGGACGGCACACCAGCCGCCCCCGAAAUGCAGUGGCGACCCCGCCGCAGCCUCCCCUGCGUAGUAGCACACACCUCGCACCGGAGCGCGGAGGCGGUCACGCCGUAAAACGCCCAACUUUCUUAGAGUUGACCUCGGAUCAGGUAGGAAUACCCGCUGAACUUAAGCAUAUCAAUAAGCGGAGGA
Molecule: unclassified non-coding RNA, 343 nt
Filed under: soil metagenome
Description: partial contains 5.8S ribosomal RNA, internal transcribed spacer 2, and large subunit ribosomal RNA
Rfam family: 5.8S ribosomal RNA (bases 1-120)
Source: RNAcentral